Molecule: ribosomal RNA, 499 nt
Filed under: uncultured soil bacterium
Lineage: Bacteria
Description: bacterial SSU rRNA
Rfam family: Bacterial small subunit ribosomal RNA
Source: RNAcentral
AGAUUGAACGCUGGCGGCAUGCUUUACACAUGCAAGUCGAACGGUAACAGGCCGCAAGGUGCUGACGAGUGGCGAACGGGUGAGUAAUGCAUCGGAACGUGCCCAGUCGUGGGGGAUAACGCAGCGAAAGCUGUGCUAAUACCGCAUACGAUCUAUGGAUGAAAGCGGGGGACCGAAAGGCCUCGCGCGAUUGGAGCGGCCGAUGUCAGAUUAGCUAGUUGGUGGGGUAAAGGCCCACCAAGGCGACGAUCUGUAGCUGGUCUGAGAGGACGACCAGCCACACUGGAACUGAGACACGGUCCAGACUCCUACGGGAGGCAGCAGUGGGGAAUUUUGGACAAUGGGCGCAAGCCUGAUCCAGCAAUGCCGCGUGCAGGAAGAAGGCCUGGUUGUAACUGCUUUGUACGAACGAAACGGUCGUAGGUUAAGUACCUCGGUCGUAAUGACGGUACCGUAAGAAUAAGACAACCGGACCGUAACUAACGUGCCAGCAGCCGUA